RNAcentral lists this ribosomal RNA (411 nucleotides) under Actinomycetes bacterium. RNAcentral's name for it is "Actinobacteria bacterium partial 16S ribosomal RNA". It matches the Rfam family "Bacterial small subunit ribosomal RNA", at positions 355 to 776 of the family's 1533-position model. Lineage: Bacteria; Bacillati; Actinomycetota; Actinomycetes. The record is from RNAcentral.
UGGGGAAUAUUGCACAAUGGGCGCAAGCCUGAUGCAGCGACGCCGCGUGGGGGAUGACGGCCUUCGGGUUGUAAACUCCUUUCGCUAGGGACGAAGCUUUUUGUGACGGUACCUAGAUAAGAAGCACCGGCUAACUACGUGCCAGCAGCCGCGGUAAUACGUAGGGUGCGAGCGUUGUCCGGAAUUACUGGGCGUAAAGGGCUCGUAGGUGGUUUGUCGCGUCGUCUGUGAAAUUCCGGGGCUUAACUCCGGGCGUGCAGGCGAUACGGGCAUAACUUGAGUUCCGGUGGGGUAACUGGGAUUCCUGGUGUAGCGGUUAAAUGGCCAGAUAUCAGGGGGGACCCCGAAGGCGAAGGGAGGGUACUGGGCAGUUACUGACGCUGAGGAGCGAAAGCAUGGGUAGCGAACAGG